UACGAGUGCCCCAAGCGUUAUCCGGAAUCAUUGGGCGUAAAGGGUGUGUAGGCGGUUGUGUUAGUCUUCCGUUAAAUUCUUCGGCUUAACCGGGGGCAUGCGGAGGAAACGGCACAACUAGAGGAUGCGAGAGGUGAAUGGAACUCAUGGAGUAGGGGUGAAAUCCGUUGAUAUCAUGGGGAACACCAAAAGCGAAGGCAAUUCACUGGCGCACUCCUGACGCUGAGACACGAAAGCGUAGGUAGCGAAUGGG
RNAcentral lists this ribosomal RNA (253 nucleotides) under uncultured bacterium. RNAcentral's name for it is "partial 16S ribosomal RNA". It matches the Rfam family "Bacterial small subunit ribosomal RNA", at positions 524 to 776 of the family's 1533-position model. The record is from RNAcentral.